AUUAAAGCGGUACGCGAGCUGGGUUCAGAACGUCGUGAGACAGUUCGGUCCCUAUCCGUCGUGGGCGUAGGAAAUUUGAGAGGAGCUGUCCUUAGUACGAGAGGACCGGGAUGGACAUACCUCUGGUGUACCAGUUGUCGUGCCAACGGCAUAGCUGGGUAGCUAUGUAUGGACGGGAUAAGUGCUGAAAGCAUCUAAGCAUGAAGCCCCCCUCGAGAUGAGAUUUCCCAACUUCGGUUAUAAGAUCCCUCAAAGAUGAUGAGGUGAAUAGGUUCGAGGUGGAAGCGUAGUGAUACGUGGAGCUGACGAAUACUAAUCGAUCGAAGACUUAAUCAACAU
This 339-nucleotide ribosomal RNA is filed under the name Staphylococcus pseudintermedius. Its description in RNAcentral is "partial 23S ribosomal RNA". It matches the Rfam family "Bacterial large subunit ribosomal RNA", at positions 2587 to 2925 of the family's 2925-position model. The record is from RNAcentral. Lineage: Bacteria; Bacillati; Bacillota; Bacilli; Caryophanales; Staphylococcaceae.